RNAcentral lists this transfer RNA (26 nucleotides) under Parus major (Great Tit). RNAcentral describes it as "partial tRNA-Trp". Lineage: Eukaryota; Metazoa; Chordata; Aves; Passeriformes; Paridae. The record is from RNAcentral. RNAcentral also lists the same sequence under 21 other names.
GAAACUUAGGAUUACCCAAACCGAAG